GCCCAGCCAGCAGGUUGAAUGCACCAUUCCCAGUGGAUCACUGAAGUUAAGAAACUUUGCGCUUGGUUUGUAUACGGAUGGGCGACCAUGUGAGCAAUCGCGUGCUGCUGGCU
RNAcentral lists this ribosomal RNA (113 nucleotides) under Diaphorina citri (Asian citrus psyllid). The record is from RNAcentral. Lineage: Eukaryota; Metazoa; Arthropoda; Insecta; Hemiptera; Psyllidae.